RNAcentral lists this transfer RNA (24 nucleotides) under Gastrotheca guentheri (Guenther's marsupial frog). RNAcentral describes it as "partial tRNA-Phe". Lineage: Eukaryota; Metazoa; Chordata; Amphibia; Anura; Hemiphractidae. The record is from RNAcentral.
UACCCUAAAAAGUCCUCUAGACAC